GCUAGGGUGACGCGGAGGGACAUUA
RNAcentral lists this ribosomal RNA (25 nucleotides) under Trichoderma oblongisporum. Its description in RNAcentral is "partial 18S ribosomal RNA". Lineage: Eukaryota; Fungi; Ascomycota; Sordariomycetes; Hypocreales; Hypocreaceae. The record is from RNAcentral.